GACGAACGCUGGCGGCGUGCUUAACACAUGCAAGUCGAACGGAAAGGCCCUGUUUGUGUGGUGUUCUCGAGUGGCGAACGGGUGAGUAACACGUGAGUAACCUGCCCUUGUCUUGGGGAUAACUUGAGGAAACUGGGGCUAAUACCGGAUAGGAGCUCCUGCUGCAGGGUGGGGGUUGGAAAGUUUGGGCGGUUGGGGAUGGACUCGGGGCUUAUCAGCUUGUUGGGGGGGUAGUGGCUUACCAAGGCUUUGAGGGGUAGCCGGCCUGAGAGGGUGACCGGCACAAUUGGGACGGGGAACCGGCCAGACCUCCACGGGGGGGAAGAAGUGGGGAUAUUUCAACAAGGGGCGGAGCCCUAAUGCAGCAACGCGUGUGGCGGGAGGACGGCCUUGGGUUUUAAACCCGCUUCCCUCUGUACCGAGGCGUGAGUGACGGUAGUGGGUAAAGAAGCACCGGCUAACUACGUG
Molecule: ribosomal RNA, 468 nt
Filed under: uncultured bacterium
Lineage: Bacteria
Description: partial 16S ribosomal RNA
Rfam family: Bacterial small subunit ribosomal RNA
Source: RNAcentral